UACGUAUGGGGCAAGCGUUAUCCGGAUUUACUGGGUGUAAAGGGAGCGUAGGCGGCAGGGCAAGCCUGAUGUGAAAGCCCGGGGCCCAACCCCGGGACUGCUCUUGGAACUGCGUGGCUGGAGUGCAGGAGGGGCAGGCGGAAUUCCUGGUGUAGCGGUGAAAUGCGUAGAUAUCAGGAGGAACACCGGUGGCGAAGGCGGCCUGCUGGACUGCAACUGGCGUUGAGGCCCGAAAGCGUGGGGAGCAAACAGG
Molecule: ribosomal RNA, 253 nt
Filed under: uncultured bacterium
Lineage: Bacteria
Description: partial 16S ribosomal RNA
Rfam family: Bacterial small subunit ribosomal RNA
Source: RNAcentral